GGGGUUGUAGCUCAGAGGUAGAGUAUUUACCUAGCAUGUGCAAAGCCCUGGAUUCCCCAGCAACUCCC
Molecule: transfer RNA, 68 nt
Filed under: Cricetulus griseus (Chinese hamster)
Lineage: Eukaryota; Metazoa; Chordata; Mammalia; Rodentia; Cricetidae
Rfam family: tRNA
About the family: Transfer RNA (tRNA) molecules are approximately 80 nucleotides in length. Their secondary structure includes four short double-helical elements and three loops (D, anti-codon, and T loops).
Source: Rfam by way of RNAcentral